RNAcentral lists this ribosomal RNA (444 nucleotides) under uncultured bacterium. RNAcentral describes it as "SSU rRNA". It matches the Rfam family "Bacterial small subunit ribosomal RNA", at positions 26 to 518 of the family's 1533-position model. The record is from RNAcentral.
AGAGCGAACGCUGGCGGCAGGCCUAACACAUGCAAGUCGAGCGCCCCGCAAGGGGAGCGGCAGACGGGAGAGUAACACGUGGGAACGUGCCCUUUGGUUCGGAACAACACAGGGAAACUUGUGCUAAUACCGGAUAAGUCCGUAAGGAGAAAGAUUUAUCGCCAAAGGAUCGGCCCGCGUCUGAUUAGCUAGUUGGUGAGGUAACGGCUCACCAAGGCGACGAUCAGUAGCUGGUCUGAGAGGAUGAUCAGCCUCACUGGGACUGAGACACGGCCCAGACUCCUACGGGAGGCAGCAGUGGGGAAUAUUGGACAAUGGGCGCAAGCCUGAUCCAGCCAUGCCGCGUGGAUGAUGAAGGCCCUAGGGUUGUAAAGUCCUUUCGACGGGGAAGAUAAUGACGGUACCCGUAGAAGAAGCCCCGGCUAACUUCGUGCCAGCAGCCGC